AGAGUUUGAUCCUGGCUCAGGAUGAACGCUAGCUACAGGCUUAACACAUGCAAGUCGAGGGGCAGCAUGGUCUUAGCUUGCUAAGGCCGAUGGCGACCGGCGCACGGGUGAGUAACACGUAUCCAACCUGCCGUCUACUCUUGGACAGCCUUCUGAAAGGAAGAUUAAUACAAGAUGGCAUCAUGAGUCCGCAUGUUCACAUGAUUAAAGGUAUUCCGGUAGACGAUGGGGAUGCGUUCCAUUAGAUAGUAGGCGGGGUAACGGCCCACCUAGUCUUCGAUGGAUAGGGGUUCUGAGAGGAAGGUCCCCCACAUUGGAACUGAGACACGGUCCAAACUCCUACGGGAGGCAGCAGUGAGGAAUAUUGGUCAAUGGGCGAGAGCCUGAACCAGCCAAGUAGCGUGAAGGAUGACUGCCCUAUGGGUUGUAAACUUCUUUUAUAAAGGAAUAAAGUCGGGUAUGCAUACCCGUUUGCAUGUACUUUAUGAAUAAGGAUCGGCUAACUCCGUGCCAGCAGCCGCGGUAAUACGGAGGAUCCGAGCGUUAUCCGGAUUUAUUGGGUUUAAAGGGAGCGUAGAUGGAUGUUUAAGUCAGUUGUGAAAGUUUGCGGCUCAACCGUAAAAUUGCAGUUGAUACUGGAUAUCUUGAGUGCAGUUGAGGCAGGCGGAAUUCGUGGUGUAGCGGUGAAAUGCUUAGAUAUCACGAAGAACUCCGAUUGCGAAGGCAGCCUGCUAAGCUGCAACUGACAUUGAGGCUCGAAAGUGUGGGUAUCAAACAGGAUUAGAUACCCUGGUAGUCCACACGGUAAACGAUGAAUACUCGCUGUUUGCGAUAUACAGCAAGCGGCCAAGCGAAAGCGUUAAGUAUUCCACCUGGGGAGUACGCCGGCAACGGUGAAACUCAAAGGAAUUGACGGGGGCCCGCACAAGCGGAGGAACAUGUGGUUUAAUUCGAUGAUACGCGAGGAACCUUACCCGGGCUUAAAUUGCAGAUGAAUUACGGUGAAAGCCGUAAGCCGCAAGGCAUCUGUGAAGGUGCUGCAUGGUUGUCGUCAGCUCGUGCCGUGAGGUGUCGGCUUAAGUGCCAUAACGAGCGCAACCCUUGUUGUCAGUUACUAACAGGUUCUGCUGAGGACUCUGACAAGACUGCCGUCGUAAGAUGUGAGGAAGGUGGGGAUGACGUCAAAUCAGCACGGCCCUUACGUCCGGGGCUACACACGUGUUACAAUGGGGGGUACAGAGGGCCGCUACCACGCGAGUGGAUGCCAAUCCCCAAAACCUCUCUCAGUUCGGACUGGAGUCUGCAACCCGACUCCACGAAGCUGGAUUCGCUAGUAAUCGCGCAUCAGCCACGGCGCGGUGAAUACGUUCCCGGGCCUUGUACACACCGCCCGUCAAGCCAUGGGAGCCGGGGGUACCUGAAGUGCGUAACCGCGAGGAGCGCCCUAGGGUAAAACUGGUGACUGGGGCUAAGUCGUAACAAGGUA
Molecule: ribosomal RNA, 1486 nt
Filed under: metagenome
Description: bacterial SSU rRNA
Rfam family: Bacterial small subunit ribosomal RNA
Source: RNAcentral